This 500-nucleotide ribosomal RNA is filed under the name uncultured soil bacterium. RNAcentral describes it as "bacterial SSU rRNA". It matches the Rfam family "Bacterial small subunit ribosomal RNA", at positions 26 to 518 of the family's 1533-position model. The record is from RNAcentral.
AGGACGAACGCUGGCGGCGUGCUUAACACAUGCAAGUGGAGCGACGAACCGGGCUUCGGCCCGGGGCAAAGCCGCGAACGGGUGAGUAACACGUGGGUAACGUACCCCGAUGACCGGGACAACCCGAGGAAACUCGGGCUAAUACCGGAUGUGCUGAGUGGCUUCAAGGCCACUCAACAAAGGAAGCUUCGGCCUCCGCAUUGGGAGCGGCCCGCGGCCCAUUAGCUUGUUGGUGAGGUAACGGCUCACCAAGGCAACGAUGGGUAGCUGGUCUGAGAGGACGAUCAGCCACACUGGGACUGAGACACGGCCCAGACUCCUACGGGAGGCAGCAGUGGGGAAUCUUGCGCAAUGCGCGAAAGCGUGACGCAGCAACGCCGCGUGAGGGAGAAGGCUUCGGGUGUAACCUCUUCAGAGGACGAAGGUUCGAGGGCGAAUAGCCGCUGGACUGACGUACCUACCGAGAAGAACGCCCGCUAACUACGUGCCAGCCAGCCGAC